GACGAACGCUGGUGGCGUGCCUAAUACAUGCAAGUCGAGCGGACCAAUAGAAGCUUGCUUCUGUUGGUUAGCGGCGGACGGGUGAGUAACACGUGGGCAACCUGCCUGUAAGACUGGGAUAACUUCGGGAAACCGGAGCUAAUACCGGAUAAUUCAUCCCCUCGCAUGAGGGGAUGCUGAAAGUCGGUUUACGCUGACACUUACAGAUGGGCCCGCGGCGCAUUAGCUAGUUGGUGAGGUAAUGGCUCACCAAGGCGACGAUGCGUAGCCGACCUGAGAGGGUGAUCGGCCAAACUGGGAAUGAGACACGGCCCAGACUCCUACGGGAGGCAGCAGUAGGGAAUCUUCCACAAUGGACGAAAGUCUGAUGGAGCAACGCCGCGUGAGCGAUGAAGGCCUUCGGGUCGUAAAGCUCUGUUGUUAGGGAAGAACAAGUAUCGGAGUAACUGCCGGUACCUUGACGGUACCUAACCAGAAAGCCACGGCUAACUACGUGCCAGCAGCCGCCGCGG
RNAcentral lists this ribosomal RNA (512 nucleotides) under uncultured bacterium. Its description in RNAcentral is "partial 16S ribosomal RNA". It matches the Rfam family "Bacterial small subunit ribosomal RNA", at positions 28 to 523 of the family's 1533-position model. The record is from RNAcentral.